RNAcentral lists this long non-coding RNA (367 nucleotides) under Malus domestica (apple). RNAcentral's name for it is "long non-coding RNA (MDOM_LNC010241)". The record is from RNAcentral. Lineage: Eukaryota; Viridiplantae; Streptophyta; Magnoliopsida; Rosales; Rosaceae.
CUGCUAUUUCUUACAAAGUUCACGAACCGAAUUCGGCUUGCAAUGUGCCGAAUGUAAUAACUGUGACACCUCACCUCGCCGAGAAGGCUAAUGAGAUGACCUCGACCAACAAGGAUUCGAAAACCCUUCUCGACCGAGACUUGGAUAGGUAAUCGACCGUUCUCGCCGCAGUGCUGUUGAUGCCAACGGAAGAUACUGCGAGACCGACCGACUCUACGGUGACAGAGCUAUCUAUGCCGACUUAAGAUAUCACCGGUUGCUUCCACAGUGCUGUUGAUGCCAACGGAAGAUGUGUCAGUGAAAAAGGAAAAGAAAAAGAUCUCAAGUUGUGAGAGUUUGCGCAGGGCAAUUUUGUAUUGAUUUUGUG